GGGUUGUGAGGUUAAGCGACUAAGCGUACACGGUGGAUGCCCUGGCAGUCAGAGGCGAUGAAGGGCGUGCUAAUCUGCGAUAAGCGCCGGUAAGGUGAUAUGAACCGUUAUAACCGGCGAUACCCGAAUGGGGAAACCCAGUGUGACUCGUCACACUAUCAUUAACUGAAUCCAUAGGUUAAUGAGGCGAACCGGGGGAACUGAAACAUCUAAGUACCCCGAGGAAAAGAAAUCAACCGAGAUUCCCCCAGUAGCGGCGAGCGAACGGGGAGGAGCCCAGAGCCUGAAUCAGCAUGUGUGUUAGUGGAAGCGUCUGGAAAGGCGCGCGAUACAGGGUGACAGCCCCGUACACAAAAGCGCAUGUGCUGUGAGCUCGAUGAGUAGGGCGGGACACGUGGUAUCCUGUCUGAAUAUGGGGGGACCAUCCUCCAAGGCUAAAUACUCCUGACUGACCGAUAGUGAACCAGUACCGUGAGGGAAAGGCGAAAAGAACCCCGGCGAGGGGAGUGAAAAAGAACCUGAAACCGUGUACGUACAAGCAGUGGGAGCACAGGUUUACCUGUGUGACUGCGUACCUUUUGUAUAAUGGGUCAGCGACUUAUAUUCUGUAGCAAGGUUAACCGAAUAGGGGAGCCGCAGGGAAACCGAGUCUUAAUUGGGCGUUAAGUUGCAGGGUAUAGACCCGAAACCCGGUGAUCUAGCCAUGGGCAGGUUGAAGGUUGGGUAACACUAACUGGAGGACCGAACCGACUAAUGUUGAAAAAUUAGCGGAUGACCUGUGGCU
This 784-nucleotide ribosomal RNA is filed under the name Salmonella enterica subsp. enterica serovar Goldcoast. RNAcentral's name for it is "partial 23S ribosomal RNA". It matches the Rfam family "Bacterial large subunit ribosomal RNA", at positions 1 to 816 of the family's 2925-position model. Lineage: Bacteria; Pseudomonadati; Pseudomonadota; Gammaproteobacteria; Enterobacterales; Enterobacteriaceae. The record is from RNAcentral.